Molecule: ribosomal RNA, 479 nt
Filed under: uncultured Cenococcum
Lineage: Eukaryota; Fungi; Ascomycota; Dothideomycetes; Gloniales; Gloniaceae
Description: eukaryotic LSU rRNA
Rfam family: Eukaryotic large subunit ribosomal RNA
Source: RNAcentral
UUGACCUCGGAUCAGGCAGGGAUACCCGCUGAACUUAAGCAUAUCAAUAAGCGGAGGAAAAGAAACCAACAGGGAUUGCCUCAGUAACGGCGAGUGAAGCGGCAACAGCUCAAAUUUGAAAUCUGGCUCUUUUAGGGUCCGAGUUGUAAUUUGUAGAGGAUGCUUCGGCGUCGGCUCCGGUCUAAGUUCCUUGGAACAGGACGUCAUAGAGGGUGAGAAUCCCGUAUGUGAUCGGUUGCCCUUGCCAUGUGAAGCUCCUUCGACGAGUCGAGUUGUUUGGGAAUGCAGCUCUAAAUGGGAGGUAAAUUUCUUCUAAAGCUAAAUACUGGCCAGAGACCGAUAGCGCACAAGUAGAGUGAUCGAAAGAUGAAAGCACUUUGGAAAGAGAGUCAAAAGUACGUGAAAUGUGAAAGGGAGCGCUUGCACAGACUGCUGCAGUGCUCAUCGGGCUUUGCCGGUGCACUCUUCUGCUGUCAGGC